This 450-nucleotide ribosomal RNA is filed under the name Bacteroidetes bacterium BAL87. RNAcentral's name for it is "bacterial SSU rRNA". It matches the Rfam family "Bacterial small subunit ribosomal RNA", at positions 42 to 490 of the family's 1533-position model. Lineage: Bacteria; Pseudomonadati; Bacteroidota. The record is from RNAcentral.
GCAGGCCUAACACAUGCAAGUCGAGGGGUAGUAAGUCUUCGGAUUUAUGAGACCGGCGCACGGGUGCGUAACGCGUAUGCAAUCUACCUUGUUUCAAAGGGAUAGCCCAGAGAAAUUUGGAUUAAUACCUUAUAGUAUUAUAAAAUGGCAUCAUUUAAUAAUUAAAGAUUUAUCGGAACAAGAUGAGCAUGCGUCCCAUUAGCUAGUUGGUAUGGUAACGGCAUACCAAGGCAAUGAUGGGUAGGGGUCCUGAGAGGGAGAUCCCCCACACUGGUACUGAGACACGGACCAGACUCCUACGGGAGGCAGCAGUGAGGAAUAUUGGACAAUGGGCGCAAGCCUGAUCCAGCCAUGCCGCGUGCAGGAAGACGGUCCUAUGGAUUGUAAACUGCUUUUAUACAGGAAGAAACAACUCUACGUGUAGAGUCUUGACGGUACUGUAGGAAUAAG